RNAcentral lists this ribosomal RNA (541 nucleotides) under uncultured bacterium. RNAcentral's name for it is "bacterial SSU rRNA". It matches the Rfam family "Bacterial small subunit ribosomal RNA", at positions 777 to 1318 of the family's 1533-position model. The record is from RNAcentral.
AAUAGAUACCCUGGUAGUCCACGCCGUAAACGUUGGAUACUAGGUGUGGCGGUUAUACCAAUGACUGCCGUGCCGAAGCUAACGCAUUAAGUAUCCCGCCUGGGGAGUACGGCCGCAAGGCUAAAACUCAAAGGAAUUGACGGGUCCCCGCACAAGCGGCGGAGCAUGCGGCUUAAUUCGAUGCAACCCGAAGAACCUUACCUGGGUUUGACAUCACGGGAAAAGCUGUAGAAAUACAGUGUCCAUUAGGGCCCGUGACAGGUGGUGCAUGGCUGUCGUCAGCUCGUGUCGUGAGAUGUUGGGUUAAGUCCCGCAACGAGCGCAGCCCUUGUCCUAUGUUGCCAGCGGUUCGGCCGGGGACUCAUAGGAGACUGCCGGGGAUAACUCGGAGGAAGGUGAGGACGACGUCAAGUCAUCAUGCCCCUUAUAUCCAGGGCUGCACGCAUGCUACAAUGGCCGGUACAACGGGCAGCGACCCCGCGAGGGUGAGCGAAUCCUAAAAAGCCGGUCCUAGUUCGGAUUGAAGUCUGCAACUCGACUU